Molecule: long non-coding RNA, 482 nt
Filed under: Chinchilla lanigera (long-tailed chinchilla)
Lineage: Eukaryota; Metazoa; Chordata; Mammalia; Rodentia; Chinchillidae
Description: lncRNA (ENSCLAG00000028463.1)
Source: RNAcentral
UACAGCAAAUUUAAUAAAUUCCAACAUGCCCAAACUUCCUGAUUUCCAUUGUCCACUGUGGUAUCGUGCAGACUUCAAGAGCAGGAGAUAACUCGCCAGGCCGCCCUGCCCACCUUCGAGGCGCUCCUGGCAGGUGCUGCCAACCUUCUUGGACCCCUCCCCGGAUGUCCCCAGGUGCCAGAGACUGGAGCACAGCUCCCCGUUCUCCAUCCCUGCUGCACACCACACGUCCCACCCUCGUCACUGUACUGGGGUUCCUGCUCCCUGUUCCAUCACAGUGAUGUUGCUGGGCCCUGCAUCCUUCCUGGGGUGAGUCUGCCUGGCUGGGGCGGCGACAGAGGGAACGCGCAGGACAGCCCAAGCAAGCCCCGCUCCCAGAGCAGCCUGGGUGAGCCCCUGAGCUGCAUGACUCAGGAUUCAGAGCGAAGGUUAGAUCACGAGCACCCUAGGGGGCUGGAAUCGUGCGCCCCAAGAGAUGCGCC